GACGAACGCUGGCGGCGUGCUUAACACAUGCAAGUCGAACGGAAAGGCCCUGCUUUUGCGGGGUGCUCGAGUGGCGAACGGGUGAGUAACACGUGAGUAACCUGCCCUUGACUUUGGGAUAACUUCAGGAAACUGGGGCUAAUACCGGAUAGGAGCUCCUGCUGCAUGGUGGGGGUUGGAAAGUUUCGGCGGUUGGGGAUGGACUCGCGGCUUAUCAGCUUGUUGGUGGGGUAGUGGCUUACCAAGGCUUUGACGGGUAGCCGGCCUGAGAGGGUGACCGGCCACAUUGGGACUGAGGUACGGCCCAGACUCCUACGGGAGGCAGCAGUGGGGAAUAUUGCACAAUGGGCGGAAGCCUGAUGCAGCAACGCCGCGUGCGGGAUGAAGGCCUUCGGGUUGUAAACCGCUUUCGCCUGUGACGAAGCGUGAGUGACGGUAAUGGGUAAAGAAGCACCGGCUAACUACGUG
Molecule: ribosomal RNA, 468 nt
Filed under: uncultured bacterium
Lineage: Bacteria
Description: partial 16S ribosomal RNA
Rfam family: Bacterial small subunit ribosomal RNA
Source: RNAcentral